This 82-nucleotide transfer RNA is filed under the name Pneumocystis canis. RNAcentral's name for it is "tRNA-Leu". It matches the Rfam family "tRNA". Rfam says of the family: Transfer RNA (tRNA) molecules are approximately 80 nucleotides in length. The record is from RNAcentral. Lineage: Eukaryota; Fungi; Ascomycota; Pneumocystomycetes; Pneumocystales; Pneumocystaceae.
AUCUACGUGCUGAAAUGGGUAGACAGAACAAACUUAAGAUUUGUAGUUGAGAAACGUAAGAGUUCGAGUCUCUUCGUAGAUA